This 488-nucleotide ribosomal RNA is filed under the name uncultured bacterium. RNAcentral describes it as "partial 16S ribosomal RNA". It matches the Rfam family "Bacterial small subunit ribosomal RNA", at positions 28 to 507 of the family's 1533-position model. The record is from RNAcentral.
GAUGAACGCUAGCGGCAGGCUUAACACAUGCAAGUCGAGGGGCAGCAUAAUGGAUAGCAAUAUCUAUGGUGGCGACCGGCGCACGGGUGCGUAACGCGUAUGCAACCUACCUUUAACAGGGGGAUAGCACUGAGAAUUUGGUACCAAUACCCCAUAAUAUCAUAGAAGGCAUCUUUUAUGGUUGAAAAUUCCGAAGGUUAGAGAUGGGCAUGCGUUGUAUUAGCUAGUUGGUGGGGUAACGGCUCACCAAGGCGACGUUACAUAGGGGGACUGAGAGGUUAACCCCCCACACUGGUACUGAGACACGGACCAGACUCCUACGUGGGACAGCAGUAAGGGAUAUUGGUCGAUGGAGGCAAGUCUGAACCAGCCAUGCCGCGUGCAGGAUGACGGCUCUAUGAGUUGUAAACUGCUUUUGUGCAAGGGUAAACGCAGAUACGUGUAUCUGUCUGAAAGUAUCGUACGAAUAAGGAUCGGCUAACUCCGUG